UACAUACAAAUAAAUUUGGUCUG
This 23-nucleotide non-coding RNA is filed under the name Arabidopsis thaliana (thale cress). The record is from RNAcentral. Lineage: Eukaryota; Viridiplantae; Streptophyta; Magnoliopsida; Brassicales; Brassicaceae.